Molecule: ribosomal RNA, 254 nt
Filed under: uncultured bacterium
Lineage: Bacteria
Description: partial 16S ribosomal RNA
Rfam family: Bacterial small subunit ribosomal RNA
Source: RNAcentral
UACGGAGGGUGCGAGCGUUGUCCGGAAUCAUUGGGCGUAAAGGGCGCGUAGGUGGCGCGGUAAGCGUGCGGUGAAAGCCUGGGGCUCAACCCCGGGUCGGCCGUGCGAACUGCUGGGCUUGAGCACUGUAGAGGCAGGCGGAAUUCCGGGUGUAGCGGUGGAAUGCGUAGAGAGUCCGGAAGAACACCGGUGGCGAAGGCGGCCUGCUGGGCAGUUGCUGACACUGAGGCGCGACAGCGUGGGGAGCAAACAGG